This 993-nucleotide ribosomal RNA is filed under the name uncultured Dechloromonas sp. RNAcentral's name for it is "bacterial SSU rRNA". It matches the Rfam family "Bacterial small subunit ribosomal RNA", at positions 378 to 1363 of the family's 1533-position model. Lineage: Bacteria; Pseudomonadati; Pseudomonadota; Betaproteobacteria; Rhodocyclales; Azonexaceae. The record is from RNAcentral.
CAAGCCUGAUCCAGCCAUGCCGCGUGAGUGAAGAAGGCCUUCGGGUUGUAAAGCUCUUUCGGCCGGGAAGAAAUCGCAUUGGUUAAUACCUGGUGUGGAUGACGGUACCGGAAUAAGAAGCACCGGCUAACUACGUGCCAGCAGCCGCGGUAAUACGUAGGGUGCGAGCGUUAAUCGGAAUUACUGGGCGUAAAGCAUGCGCAGGCGGUUUUGUAAGACAGGCGUGAAAUCCCCGGGCUCAACCUGGGAACUGCGCUUGUGACUGCAAGGCUAGAGUACGGCAGAGGGGGGUGGAAUUCCACGUGUAGCAGUGAAAUGCGUAGAGAUGUGGAGGAACACCAAUGGCGAAGGCAGCCCCCUGGGUCGAUACUGACGCUCAUGCACGAAAGCGUGGGUAGCAAACAGGAUUAGAUACCCUGGUAGUCCACGCCCUAAACGAUGUCAACUAGGUGUUGGGAGGGUAAAACCUUUUAGUACCGGAGCUAACGCGUGAAGUUGACCGCCUGGGGAGUACGGCCGCAAGGUUAAAACUCAAAGGAAUUGACGGGGACCCGCACAAGCGGUGGAUGAUGUGGAUUUAUUCGAUGCAACGCGAAAAACCUUACCUACCCUUGACAUGUCAGGAAGUCUUGAGAGAUUGAGAUGUGCCCGAAAGGGAACCUGAACACAGGUGCUGCAUGGCUGUCGUCAGCUCGUGUCGUGAGAUGUUGGGUUAAGUCCCGCAACGAGCGCAACCCUUGUCGUUAAUUGCCAUCAUUUAGUUGGGCACUUUAGCGAGACUGCCGGUGACAAACCGGAGGAAGGUGGGGAUGACGUCAAGUCCUCAUGGCCCUUAUGGGUAGGGCUUCACACGUCAUACAAUGGUCGGUACAAAGGGUCGCCAACCCGCGAGGGGGAGCCAAUCCCAGAAAGCCGAUCGUAGUCCGGAUUGCAGGCUGCAACUCGCCUGCAUGAAGUCGGAUCGCUAGUAAUCGUGGAUCAGCAUGUCACGGU